RNA transcript from Glycine soja, 1356 nucleotides. It is a transcript of the gene named peroxidase 53-like, with no coding region annotated. NCBI's taxonomy places the organism in Eukaryota, Viridiplantae, Streptophyta, Magnoliopsida, Fabales, Fabaceae. The transcript has 4 exons. The record is from RefSeq and is a predicted model, not a curated record.
GUCUCUCUUUAAAUAGACACUAAGCAUUCCGGGGAAGCUCGCACCAACAACAUGUUGAUGAUUCAAAACAGAAAAAAAAUGAGGUUUUUUACAGUGAAAGUAGCUCUGUGCUGUGUGGUGGUUAUGCUACUAACCCUCUCAGAUGCACAGCUAGAUAACUCUUUUUACAAGGACACGUGUCCAAGAGUGCAUUCUAUUGUGCGUGAAGUUGUCAGAAAUGUUUCCAAAUCUGAUCCCCGCAUUCUUGCCAGUCUCAUAAGGCUCCACUUUCAUGAUUGUUUCGUUCAAGGGUGUGAUGCAUCAAUUCUGUUGAACGACACAGCUACGAUCGUGAGCGAGCAAAGUGCACCACCAAAUAACAACUCAAUAAGAGGUUUGGAUGUUGUGAACCAGAUCAAAACCGCGGUGGAAAAUGCUUGCCCAGGCAUAGUUUCUUGCGCUGAUAUCCUUGCUCUUGCAGCUGAGAUAUCUUCUGUUCUGGCUCAUGGCCCUGACUGGAAAGUUCCACUAGGAAGAAGAGAUAGUUUAAAUUCAAGUUUUUCUCUUGCUCUUCAAAAUCUUCCGGGUUUCAAUUUCACCCUUGAUCAACUCAAAUCUACAUUUGAUAGACAAGGCCUCAAUACGACUGAUCUAGUUGCUUUGUCAGGUGCUCAUACAAUUGGUAGAUCUCAAUGUAGAUUUUUUGCUCACCGAAUAUACAAUUUCAGUGGCAAUGGCAACAGUGACCCAACUCUCAACACUACCCUCUCACAAGCACUACGAGCAAUAUGUCCCAAUGGUGGACCUGGAACCAAUCUCACCAAUUUGGACUUAACUACUCCUGAUAGAUUUGACUCCAACUACUACUCAAAUCUUCAACUUCAAAAUGGCUUGCUUCGGAGUGAUCAAGUGUUAUUUUCUACAAGUGGUGCAGAGACCAUUGCCAUUGUCAAUAGUUUCGGUAGUAAUCAAACUCUUUUCUAUGAACAUUUUAAGGUGUCAAUGAUAAAAAUGAGCAUCAUUGAAGUGCUAACGGGGUCACAAGGAGAAAUUCGAAAACAUUGUAACUUUGUCAAUGGGGAUUCUUCUAAUCUGGCUACUCUAGCCACCAAAAAAUCUUCAGAGGAUGGUAUGGUGAGCUCAAUCUAGAUGAGUUAACAAAAGAUAUCCUAAUGCAAAAAUGAAAGGUCAUUAAUAAAGGGGUUAUAUAGGAAGAUACAUGUUGUGUGCUAAUGGUGAAUCAUAAUAUCGUUUGUACCUUGUAUUAGCUACGGAUAACAACUACUUAUUUUGUAAUAUAUUAUUAUUAGAAUUAAGUUGUUUGGUGUUGAUGGGUUUGGAAGUGAUACGAUUCAAUGGAUGAAAUAUAGUUAAUAA